UAGGGAAUAUUGCAAAAUGGGCGAAAGCCCGAUGCAGCAACGCCGCGUGGGCGAUGAAGGCCUUCGGGUCGUAAAGCCCUUUUUGAGGGGAUGAGGAAGGACAGUACCCUCAGAAUAAGCCUCGGCUAACUACGUGCCAGCAGCCGCGGUAAAACGUAGGAGGCGAGCGUUAUCCGGAUUUACUGGGCGUAAAGCGCGUGCAGGCGGAUUGGAGAGUUGGAUGUGAAAGCUCCCGGCUUAACUGGGAGAGGUCAUUCAAUACUUCCAGUCUUGAGUGCAGUAGAGGGAAGUGGAAUUCCGGGUGUAGUGGUGAAAUGCGUAGAUAUCCGGAGGAACACCAGUGGCGAAAGCGGCUUCCUGGACUGUAACUGACGCUCAGACGCGAAAGCUAGGGUAGCAAACG
Molecule: ribosomal RNA, 403 nt
Filed under: uncultured bacterium
Lineage: Bacteria
Description: bacterial SSU rRNA
Rfam family: Bacterial small subunit ribosomal RNA
Source: RNAcentral